This is a long non-coding RNA of Oreochromis aureus, 1146 nucleotides long. Lineage: Eukaryota; Metazoa; Chordata; Actinopteri; Cichliformes; Cichlidae. The record is from Ensembl.
AAAGACGUUAGCGUGCUGCCCAACUUUCACCACACUCAGAUUUAUAAUUAUACGGUUCUUGGAGUGAGUGCAUACACUCAUGAAGUUUUAGUAACUUCAGGUCACUGCAACAAGCCCAGGUACAGUUUACCGACGGAUGGGUUCAGGACCUUGAAAUGCACCGUGUAGAACGAAAGACCAUCGUACAAACAAAGAACUAUAGACCUGCCAAGGCCUGGCUGUUUGGCAAGCAGAGGUUGGACCCAAACACAGGACUCCUGAGGCGAAACAUGAACAGAUCGAUUGCUGAGAACUACAAACUAAAAGUACCAAACAAUAAACACUUGGCAUGGUAACUAAGAUGCAAAACAUGAAGCACACAGCAUGGGGAGAAACAUGACGGGAGGACAUCAAGACUGACGACAUGAUGAAGAACAUAAAUACAGAGGAUAACAAGAGGAUGGGCAACAGGUUUAAACACAGCUGGAGCAAAUCUGACUAACCGAACAACGGAAGCAAAACUGAACAUAACACACAUCAGACAAGGUAGCUUCAAAAUUAAUCAGGAAGUGACACGCACCGUGAGACCCAGACAAAGAGAACUUAACAAUAGGAGAGGGAACAAGCAGACAGGUAACACGUGACAGUCUGGGGUGAUGAGAUGAAACACAAUUAGAGCAACACGGGAACAAGUAAGGGAGACGAAAUACAUAGACACCACUAAGAGGGCGAGGAAGAAAGAUACAGAGAGAGACACAGAGGGCGAGAGAGACUGAGGAGUGUGUUAAAGACAGAACACAGAGACGAAGACUAUAAUAGAUAGGACAUGACAACAAGACCGACAAACACAGGAAACCCUGAGGACAACACACAAGGAAGGAAAACACUAAGGGAAAUAGAACCAAAAGGGAUAAACAAUCAGAAAAACGGAUACGGUUAAGAAAAACUAAACUAUGAAAAAUGAGUCACUCUAGAAAUGCCAUAACGUUUAAUCAAGAAGUCCACAAACACAAAGCACUGGAUCAAUGACCCAGGACUGUGACAAGACUGAAAUUUAACCAUAUCUGUUGCUCAGGUAAAGGGUCGCACAUUGUGUUCAGUGUCUGAAAGAGAUGAUUUUUGGGGUGUUACACCGUUACAAAAUCUAAUUAAAGACUCUAAAUAAAA